AUGCCUCCAUGGUGGUUCCUGGUGCAUUUCAUGGCUGCAAUUCUUGCCGUUGAUGUUCAGGGGCGAUAUGAUACUACUGACAGGUACGCCUGUGAUCCUUUCUCUUGCGGCCAUCUCCAAGACAUCCAGUACCCUUUCCGCCUGCGAGGAGAUCUGCGUCUGUGCGGUUUGCCAUCGUACGAGCUGGAUUGCUCCGAUAGCAAGGCUACAAUUCGGAUCAACACAGGGACGUACUUUGUCACGGAUAUCAACUACAAGCAUUCUUACUUCUGGGUCGUGGACGCCAACCUGGACAUGAGCGGCAGCUGCCCUCUUCCUCGCUGGGAUCAGCGCCCUUAUAUAUAUGGCAUCCCUGGGUCCGACGGCUUCGUCGAAUUGUACCCUCGUUCUGUUACAUGGGCUAACUUUGUGAAUUGUUCGCGGGCGGUCACGGACAAUAGUGACUACAUACCGGUAGCUUGCCUGAGAACGAGGUCUUCUUUUGUCUAUGUGUUGAUUGACUCUCUUUAUGUUGGAGAUCUUAAUCCUUACUGCGGGUACUUGGCUGUGGCUGCUUUGGGUGAUCAGAGCGUGCAAUAUAGUAAUGCAAGCCAUGGUGUUUUGGUGGAAACCCUGAGGAGAGGAUUUCCUGUUUGGUUUCCUUUGAAAUAUAAAAGGAGGUAUGGGGGCUUCAAGGAUUGCCUAAAGGAUAAGAUUGUCCCAGUUCCAGGAAAACCAAUGGCUAGUACUCUUGGCAACUGGGAUUGGAUAUGGACCAUUUUUACGGUUGAUUCUGAGAUCUUACAUUGCGCAUUUGGAGCAGACACUUUUCCUUCCAAUGAACACCUUCGCAAACUACAGUCCUCAACAGUAUACUCCAUGUUGAUAUUGAAGUUGAUUGCUGCUCUACGCAGGUUUGUGUUUGCUCCUCUGGUGGUACUGGUCUUCCUAGCCCACAAAUACUGGAAAACAAGGAUCACAAUCGAUGCGGUCGAGAAGUUCCUACGGAUGCAGCAAAUGAUCGGCCCGACAAGGUAUGCCUACACAGAUAUUGUUGCAGUCACAAGCCAUUUCAGAGACAAGCUGGGUCAGGGGGGCUACGGCUCCGUGUAUAAGGGCGUUCUACUCCCAGGCGAUGUCCCUGUGGCCAUCAAGAUGCUUGACGGUAAAUCCAGCUGCGACGGAGAAGAUUUCAUCAGCGAGGUCUCCACCAUCGGUAGGAUCCACCACGUCAAUGUGGUGCGUCUGGUGGGUUUCUGCUCCGAGGAAAUGAGGAGGGCACUAGUCUACGAGUAUAUGCCCCGUGGUUCUCUGGACAAGUACAUCUUCUCGGUCGAAAAGAGUUUUUCCUGGGACAAGCUCAAUGAAAUUGCCUUGGGCAUUGCCAGGGGGAUCAACUACUUGCAUCAAGGCUGUGACAUGCAGAUUUUACACUUUGACAUCAAGCCGCACAACAUCCUUCUUGACAGCAAUUUUGUCCCAAAAGUCGCCGAUUUUGGCCUUGCCAAGCUAUACCCAAGGGAUAACAAUUUUGUGCCGUUGAGCGCCUUACGGGGAACAAUCGGGUACAUGGCUCCUGAAAUGGUAUCCCGGAGCUUCGGCGUCAUAUCCAGCAAGUCCGACGUCUACAGCUUCGGGAUGCUGCUGUUGGAGAUGGCUGGAGGACGCAGGAAUGCUGACCCAAAUGCGGCGAACUCAAGCCAGGCAUUCUACCCAUCGUGGGUGUAUGACCGGCUAACCAAACAUGAACUGGGUGAGAUAUCUGCUGAGAUGCAUGAGUUGGAGAGGAAGCUGUGUCUAGUUGGCCUAUGUUGCAUCCAGAUGAAGUCCCACGAUCGUCCGGCGAUGAGCGAAGUCAUAGAGAUGCUCGAAGGCGGCAGUGAUGUGCUGCAGGUGCCUUCAAGGCCGUUCUUCUGUGAUAGUGGCCACACCCCCCUAGAGGAUUCUUACCAUUUCAUGUCUGAGCUGACUGCCAUUUCGGAGGAGGAUGGGUAA
This 1974-nucleotide ribosomal RNA is filed under the name Triticum aestivum (bread wheat). Its description in RNAcentral is "partial small subunit ribosomal RNA". The record is from RNAcentral. Lineage: Eukaryota; Viridiplantae; Streptophyta; Magnoliopsida; Poales; Poaceae.